CCCCCCUCAUCCAAAAGCCCCCUUCUCGUGGCGGCUCCUCCCCCUCGCUCGACCCGACCGAUCCGGUCGGCCUCGCCGGCCAUCACCGUCGACCCCUCUCUGGGCUACCUUCCCCGAGCCCACUGACCCUAGCACCCUACACCCGCAUGUGAGGCCUCUCCUCCUCCCCUCUCCCCUCGCCUCACUUCCUCCACCGAGCGCUCUGGCGAGAUCCCUUGUCAUCGGUCGCACCCUGGCUACCCCCACCACGCGGGCACACCACCCUGUCCCAUCCCUCGCCCGCGCCACUGCUCGCGCCCUUGCAUUGCGAUGGCCCCGCCCGGUCGUGCCCGCCGACCGCUGAGCCACCGCGGCUGCCCCACGCUUCAGCCAUCCCUCCGGCCAUCGUAUCGCGCUCGCGGCUGCGCCCGCUAACUCUGCCCCGUGGCCGCUCGCUGGUCGUCACUCCCGCGCCCUCGCUCAACCCGCGUAUUUUGCACCAGGACGCUCGCUGACGACCUCGGCCAUUCGCCCCGUCGCUGCCCCCUCCGAUCCCCACUCGCUGGCCUCGCCAGGAGCCACUGGCCGUGGCUCGGCUUGCCUCAGCCUCGAGCCUCCUCCUCCCUUAUUUUGGUCAAUGGGGUGAACUCCCCCCCCCCUCAUCCCAUUUGCCCGCUGGCUCAAUGAAUUAAGGGGGCCACCCCAUGCUAAAAACUUUUAAGAAAAAUAAUGAUGAAUUAAAUUAAUUAAUUAAGUAAGUAAGUAAGUAAGUAACUAAGUGAUUAAUUAGUAAGUUAAUUAGUUAACUUAAUUGAGACUAAUCUCUAUAAUUGAUUAGGAUAAUUAAUUUGGUUAAUUAACCCUAAUUUAUUUAAUUAACUCUAUUACUUAAUUUGAUGUGAAUGCCAUAUGGGGCCCGCCCUAUUUGUUGAACCUAAUUUUAAUAAAAUUAAAACUGAAUUAACUAUGGGUCUAUAAGAGUGGGACGCACUGGUUAGUUGACUAGUCAAGUGAGAUUGUUGACCGCUGAUGUCCGCAUGACAUCAUGCUAAUGUAAUAUAUAUUUGUUGAAUUAUAAUAAAUCUAUUUAAUUUCUAAAUAUUAAUAAAACUAUGAAAUUUAAUAAAAAAUAAUCUGGAAUCCGGAUGAAAAUAUUUUGUAUAUGAAAGUUGAUCAAAAAAACGAGACGAACCUGGAUACGUUAUCUGUUCGUGUGUCGCGCGUCCCUAGCAUAGCUAACAUGGAGCUUUUCCAUCCGUAUCGUCUGUCCAGUAGUAGCCAAAGACCACGGAAAUAUCGUGAGAUAUUUUCCUGCUUCGUGUGUAACGUUUAGUACUGCAUUAGUUCACCCCUAGCACGGUAAUUACCCUGUCAUGCUUUAUGAUGCAUUUGAUUGUUGUGUUAUUUAUUGUGUUUCCCCUACGUUGCUUCCUUUCUAGUAGACCCGAGACCGAGGAUGAUCCGGUGUUCGACUACUUCCCGGUCGAGGAUCCGUAUUUGUUUGCGGAGCAACUAGGCAAGCAACCCCCUUGAUCAUUCUUAUAUCACCUAUUAUUUCUCCCUCACGCUUGCAUUAGAUUUUGCUACUAUUGUAGAUAGCUCCUAUAUCUGAUGCCUAGCCUGUUUUUGAUGAACUGCUUCUUUCCUUUACGGUACUUUUAACAUGACAGUGUAAUAAUAUGAUGAAUAAUUUGGGUAGUAUGACUAAUUCGGGUAGUAUGGGUAUUUCGAGUUUUCUAGACUGAAACCCGAACCCGAACCCAAAAACCAAAUAGCUAAGAAAUGAGAACCGAACCCUAACCCAAUACCCUAAUUACCCGACAAUUCGAGUAAUUCGGUUCGGGUUCGGGUUUGGGUAACGGGUUAGGGUACCCAAAUGCCCAGGGUGAGGUGGAGCAGUCAUCCCCUUUGCCCCCCUUAGUCUAGUUGCCCCCGCUUUAUCGUCAAGUCUCAAUCAUCUGAUCGAUGAGCCAAGACCCGACACAUCACUUUACACCCCCUUGUUGUACGAUGUUGCAUGGCUACUAUCGAGUACCGAGGGUGACACUUCGAUACGUACUCAUGAUGUUAGCUUUGUAGUGUAAUUAACCGGCGGUGGUUCUCGAAGGGUGAUUCCUCCUUCACCACUUCCGGUAACGACUCUAUCGUACCACCCAUCAAGAAUGAUCUAGCAAGGGUGAUUCCUCCCUGGCCACCUUGAUGGUUACAUCAUUCGGAAUACAUCAAGGCUGAUACCUCGGAUUUUUCUGAUGUUGUAGCCACACAGUUACUUGACCUUGUUACUCGGAAUUUGAUGAAUGGUGUGUUGCGGGUGGAUUCCCGCGUGGAUGAGAUGAUGAGUUAAUUAAAAUGCUAAUGGAUUUGGGUAUUUGAUCUGAGUUGCUCGGGAGACCUUUUUUGCAGUAACCUUCACGUGGGAGAAUUUAUGUGUAUUCGACGUCGUGGUAUCAGCCGAAGCUCUUCACACGUCAGCAAUGAAAGGGUGCAUGCCUGAGUGGCCCGGAUAAGCAUGGUUCUUGUAUAAGAGGUACCAAGACUGACAUUAGCCGCCCUCGCAUGGUGCAGGAGCGCAACAGGUGAUGGGCCCAUGACCCCUGCGCGCUUAGGAUUUAGACCGGUGGGCUGGCCUCUCUAUUGAGCAUAGGUAAGGCUGCGACGUGUUGAUGUUCCGAGGCCGGGCAUGUCCGAGGAAACCGUGUCCGGCCAGAGUUUAUCGGGUACUAUGGUGCACCCCUGCAGGGAUGAAAAUUAAUUAUUCUAAUAGCCAUGUCCACGGUUACAGGGCGAUUUGGAGUUGUGCCCCGAUCUUAUACAACUACAACCUUUACUUAACUGGGAUGUUUACUCUGGGAUUGCUUCCUCGUAGGGAGUUGGGGAAUAAUCCCUAGGCAUGACCUUAAUUAAUAUUGCUGCAACAAUAUGACUAUAUAUUUGUGAUUCUUGCUCUACUCUCGUAUAUUGCUGCAAGACGCUGAAGAUGCUAGUCUUCGAUAGUACUAGUCCCCUCUCUCUAUUCUCGCAACGCUGUAGUCAGUCCACAUAAAACCCCCUUUCCUUUGAUACUGAUGCAUACUUAGCAUUUGUGAUGUUAGUCUUGCGACUACUUUGGAUGAGUACUCACCGUUGCUUUGCUCCCCACUUUCCCCUUGAUUCGAUUGCUGCGACCACAUGUUGGAGCCUAGGAGAUGGCAUUUCCCGCCGACGACGCCUGCUACCCCGAUGGUGCCUACUACUAUGUGGAGGCCGCUGAAGACCAGGAGUAGUUUAGGAGGUUCCCAGGCACAAGGCAUCGCCUCGUUUGAUCGUUGUAUCUUUUGUGCUAGCCUUCUCUAAGGCUUUAUCCUUUGUUUCAUGUUUGUACUCAAAUAUUUGUUGCUUCCGCUGACUCAUGUGUUUAUCGAACUUCUGUAUUCUAGCCCUUGAGGCCCCUGGCUUGUAAUAUGAAGCUUGUAUGAUUUUAUUUGUGUCUAGAGUUGUGUUGUGAUAUCUUCCCAUGAGUCCGUGAGCUUGGUCGUAUGCAAGCAUGUAUGAUUAGUGUACAAUCAAACCGAGAGCGUCACAGAAUGCCUAGAAGGCAUCCCCUCUUUCUUCUAACAACGAUCGACAAUUUUAC
Molecule: long non-coding RNA, 3592 nt
Filed under: Hordeum vulgare
Lineage: Eukaryota; Viridiplantae; Streptophyta; Magnoliopsida; Poales; Poaceae
Description: long non-coding RNA (HVUL_LNC000542)
Source: RNAcentral